CAUGGAGAAGCAAUACUGGUUUGCUUGGCAUUAGGAUAAUUUAGUUCUUCAUGAUUCUUAUCAUGAGUCACGAAAUGUCUCAUGUAGCUUUCUUUAGUAUUUUUUCCUUUUCUUUUUUGGAUUUCAUAUUAUCAUUUUGCUGGAUGAAACUAAUUACUUUUCUUUGUCACUGACCUCUAUUAGAUGCUUUGAUCUUAUCAAAACAUAUCACAACUUAAAUUAUGAUUAUAUAAACUGGAUACUAUCAUGCAGAUCUGCUUUAAAACAUCUGAAAAUCGAGCGCAUCAAACAAUAUGACUAUUGCCUUCCUUGUGAGUUUUGUUUACCUUUUUAUUUUUUCUUAUUUUGUGCAAAAAGUUGUUGCAACCCUUUGAAAUUUAUACAUUGACAAAUUCAUUUUGCAAUGAUUUUCUAUGCCUCAACAUCUUUUCUCUUACUAUGUAUGGUGGUCUGUGAUUUGAGCUUUUGUUCCCUAAUGUUGAAUGUAAGAUAGUUGCAUUGAAUAUGAAAGCAUCAAUGUAGAUUAUUUUUUUAUGGAUUUUGUUCAUCAUCCAUCCUCAUCAAGGUCAAUAUGAGACCAUAAGUGAGCUUUCUUAAAGCAUUUCUUGUAGCUAUAUAUCUCCCUGUCCAAAAUACCUGAUUGUCUUUGAGGUAGAAACGAGGUGGUUGCUUAAGUGGUAUUCAUGCCCGGUACAUGUGAAGGGACUGAAUGUUGAAUCUGGUCAUGAAUAUGUUGUGUGUUUAAGCAUGUGAGCUAUGAGUACUUGCUCAAUUGUUCAAUUUAAAUUCUAGUAGAUGGUAGGAAAACUAAAUAAGCAAUAUAUUUGAAAGGAGAAUUUACAAAGUAUUGCAAUAUUGUCUAAAUAUCUGAAGACAAAGACCGAAAACUAGGGACAUCUUCAAGUAGCUGUAAUUUUGAAGUGCUUAAAAUAGUUAAGUAUGAUGUUAGUUUUGAGUAUAGACAGUUAAGGGCUUUUCUUCCAAAAAAAGGAUUUCCUAUAUACAACUUCAAGUUCUUAAUUUGGUUAUAGCAUGAGCCAAUCAAAAUUUAUUAUAACAUUUUGAGAAUUUAACCAUUAUGGCCAGUGCUAAAUUGUUUAAGAAAAUGCAUAGGAUUCAUGGACGCUAGAAUCAACGUAAGGGGUGGGGUUAAACAUCUUAAUAGGAUAUCCUGAACAUUGAACUUUAUACAUGUUGAAAAGUUAUGUAUGCAUUUCUAUUAGGUUGUUGACAAUUGAGUCAAGUGACUGAGAUUUUCCUAAUACAUUGGAUAAUAUUAUAAUUAAACCUACAUAUACCAUAAUGUUAUCAAAGGAUAAUGUUGAACAAUAUUUUGAAAUCCGAUCAUAUUCUUUGGCUGGC
Molecule: long non-coding RNA, 1362 nt
Filed under: Elaeis guineensis (African oil palm)
Lineage: Eukaryota; Viridiplantae; Streptophyta; Magnoliopsida; Arecales; Arecaceae
Description: long non-coding RNA (EGUI_LNC072660)
Source: RNAcentral